AGGAGUUCAUGGGGACAUUUCCCAUUAGGGACAGGUUUGGGACAGUUUGAGGAGUUCAUGGGGACAUUUCCCAUUAGGGACAGGUUUGGGACAGUUUGAGGAGUUCAUGGGGACAUUUCCCAUUAGGGACAGGUUUGCAGGAGUUAAUGAAGCAGAGGAGACCUGGUUCCUGGAGGAACAAGGCAAGAGGAGUUUGUUUCUCCUGGGAGCAGCUUGCACCUGGGAGUAUCCGCAGCCACGGGGGCUGCAGUGCCUGAGUGACUCCUUCAUCAGGUGUUUGCUCCUUUUCCAGCCCUGCUUUCCCAGCUGUGAGGGUGACCUCUCCCAGAGCCUGGCCACACUCAGGUGACUGCAAAGUGCUGCCUGGAAAUGCAGGGGUGGCUGCAGGGCUCCUGUUCCCACGCAGGUGUCCCAGGGCUCCACAUCCGACAAGGAGGCUGAUCAAAGGUACAACAACCUCCAGCAGGGUGAGAGAACCGGGCCGGGAGAGCUCUUUUAUCUCGGGAACACUGUAAAAUAUGUUAAUAAUUGCGAGCAUCCGAGGACAAAAAGAUGGCACUUGAAAGGGAGGUGAGAGAAUGGCGCGGGUUUUAUGGGGGCUGUUUGCAGAGCGAGGAAAUCAAACAAAUCUUUCGUUUGACUCCAGCAUAAGAAAGAGGUGUGAAGCAAUUCUUAAUGAGAUUGAUGCCCAAGGCAAACUGCUUUCUCUAUUUUUUUUCUUUUAACUUAAAUAAAAAAUAAAAUAAGGGAUGAUUUGAAAUCCUGAGGCCAGCUGGUGUGAACGGCCCUAAAGGCUGGAAGGUUUGCCUUGAAGAGGAGCCCGGGCUGGGGGGGCUCUCUGUCAGUUUGGAAUAUCCUAUAGCUCUGGGAUAACCAGGAAUUCUGCCUGGAUGCUCCACAGGGCAUCUCAGAAAACCCCAGAAUUUGGGGCACGACAGAGAAGCAGUUUGAUGCUUUAUUUUUGUUUUCCUGAGAAUAAUUCCCCGUUCUCCUGACAGCACCAAUUUCCUGACACCCUGCGUGGCACCUGAAUCAGUGUUUUAGCCCCCACCCACCCCAAAUCCCUUCCUCAGGUGUGUCCCUCCUGCAGGAGAUGCCUGAGCCUUUAAAUGUGGCCAGUUUAGCAGCUCUGAGCACAGAAUGCACAAGCACUUUAUUCUGCAGGGCUUGCUGCUCAUGAAAAUACCAUUUUUUGGGUGUGCUGGCUGCAGUGCUUAAACAGCACCCAAAUAACCAGGAAUAAUUUUGGGGCAGCGUGGCCAUCUGCCAUCAAGGCCAGCAGGGACAUUUGCUGAUUUUCCAGAGAAAUUCCUCCUUUAGGAGCAGGGAAGUGGCUGCAUCCCCUGAGUUCACCCCACACAGGCAUGCUUGGACUUCAUUUAACCAGCCUCUAAAUGAGCUGCUUAAUUAGCAGGUCCUAAUGAGUGGUGUAAUUCCAAACCAUGGAGCUGGAUGUAUUGAAAAGUACCUGCUUUUAGGUCUGUACUUUUUAUAAGUACCCAUUAAUAGCUAAAAUAUGUCUCUGAAUUGGAAAAAAAUGUGGAACAAUGAAGAGAUCAAGAAAUGGGAAUUGGAAAUUUUUACUUUUUCUUCCUGGAGAAAGAGAUGUUCUUGUGCCCAGACCCCAAAUAAUUGACAGCAUUUUGUCAUGUGGCACUGAGUGAGCACGAGCCCAGCUGGUUUAGAAACACCCCAGUGGUGGAUCCC
This is a long non-coding RNA of Passer domesticus (house sparrow), 1707 nucleotides long. RefSeq lists it as uncharacterized. Lineage: Eukaryota; Metazoa; Chordata; Aves; Passeriformes; Passeridae. The record is from RefSeq and is a predicted model, not a curated record. The transcript has 6 exons.